This 104-nucleotide small nuclear RNA is filed under the name Vulpes vulpes (red fox). Lineage: Eukaryota; Metazoa; Chordata; Mammalia; Carnivora; Canidae. The record is from RNAcentral.
UAAACUAAUAGUGCCUGCUUUCGCAGCAUUGGAAUGACACAAAGGAGAUUAGCAUGGCCCCUGUGCAGGGAUGGUGUCUACAGUAACAAAUAAUACAAUUUCAA